Molecule: long non-coding RNA, 454 nt
Filed under: Populus trichocarpa (black cottonwood)
Lineage: Eukaryota; Viridiplantae; Streptophyta; Magnoliopsida; Malpighiales; Salicaceae
Description: long non-coding RNA (PTRI_LNC001928)
Source: RNAcentral
AUUGCUUUUCCUUGUGUUUAAUUGUCUCUUUCCUAGGUGUCUUUUCUCCCUUGUUCUUUUCCUAGCAUGUUCUAUGAGGUUUCUCCGAACAUAGCACAACAGAUGGUUCCCUUUAAAAUAUAUUAUCAGUCUCUCCCAAACCAAGAGAUUCUCGCUCUCCAUUAAUUAUCAGUCUCUCCCAAACCCUGUCUCUACUAGAUAAAGUCACAGUAGAAAACAAGAAGCCAAGAAGAAGCACCUAUCUUAUGACACGUAUUCAAACCAAGAGAUUCUCGCUCUCCAUUAAUUAUCAGUCUCUCCCAAACCCUGUCUCUACUAGAUAAAGUCACAGUAGAAAACAAGAAGCCAAGAAGAAGCACCUAUCUUAUGACACGUAUUCAAACCAAGAGAUUCUCGCUCUCCAUUAAUUAUCCCGGACAAUUCCACUCAAUAAUUGUUAUUCUUUAUUUGGUUA